GGCAUAAACUUGAAGUAGAGUACAUUAGCAUGGUCAGAUGGUCGUACUAAUCAACUCUACUUCAAGUUUGAGCCC
Haemonchus contortus (barber pole worm) is the source of this 75-nucleotide non-coding RNA. NCBI's taxonomy places the organism in Eukaryota, Metazoa, Nematoda, Chromadorea, Rhabditida, Trichostrongylidae. The record is from Rfam.